CUCGCACCAGGCAGCUACCAGCCGUCCCGGGGAGACCCUUGCAGGAUAAAGAAGAGCAAGGGAAAGUCAUUCCUCUGGUGACUCCCAGGAUGGUGGACUUCAUUGCUGCAGCGGUGGAGGCGAAUAGAAGGGUACGUGACACACACUGCUGCAGUGCCUCUGUCUUACUGAACUGUAGAAAAGCAUCACUGAUUCUCACAGCGUUCCUUACUGCGCGUUCACAUAACACCUUGCUUGAAGAGAAAUGAGUUGGGGUGGCAUUUGAGAAUAAGCAGUUCGCUUCCGUUUGCCUCCCGAAAGCCACCCCAAGAGCUAACUGGGGGAUGCUCCUGAUGGCUUGUGUAGAACUCACAGCUGCCAGACUGCAUUUAGCCCAGUGUUUAUUUAUUUUCCUGGCUCUUACAGAAGGGCUCUUCAGUCGAGUCCGCAGGAGCCUGGCAGCAAACCAGAAAGGUGGAAGACAAAGGGAGAAAUGGAGUGCAGGAAGGGAAACCCCUCAGCCUCCACAGAGACUAACGCUGCCUGCUGUUGCAUACAGAUUGCCGCCGAGAAAAAAUGCGCAAAGACCAGGAAGGGAAAGGAGCAGAAGGGGAAGACGGUGAGGAAGGAGAAGGAGGAGAAGGGGAAGACGGUGAGGAAGGAGAAGGAGGAGAAAGGGAAGAAGGUGAAGGAGAAGGAGGACA
This 683-nucleotide long non-coding RNA is filed under the name Gallus gallus (chicken). RNAcentral's name for it is "long non-coding RNA NONGGAT004039". The record is from RNAcentral. Lineage: Eukaryota; Metazoa; Chordata; Aves; Galliformes; Phasianidae.